This 468-nucleotide ribosomal RNA is filed under the name uncultured bacterium. RNAcentral describes it as "partial 16S ribosomal RNA". It matches the Rfam family "Bacterial small subunit ribosomal RNA", at positions 28 to 507 of the family's 1533-position model. The record is from RNAcentral.
GACGAACGCUGGCGGCGUGCUUAACACAUGCAAGUCGAACGGAAAGGCCCUGCUUUUGUGGGGUGCUCGAGUGGCGAACGGGUGAGUAACACGUGAGUAACCUGCCCUUGACUUUGGGAUAACUUCAGGAAACUGGGGCUAAUACCGGAUAGGAGCUCCUGCUGCAUGGUGGGGGUUGGAAAGUUUCGGCGGUUGGGGAUGGACUCGCGGCUUAUCAGCUUGUUGGUGGGGUAGUGGAUUACCAAGGCUUUGACGGGUAGCCGGCCUGAGAGGGUGACCGGACACAUUGGGACUGAGCUGCGGCCCAGACUACUCCGGGAGGCAGCAGUGGGGAAUAUUGUACAAUGGGCGGAAGCCUGAUGCAGCAACGCCGCGUGCGGGAUGACGGCCAUCGGGUUGUAAACCGCUUUCGCCUGUGACGAAGUGUGAGUGACGGUAAUGGGUAAAGAAGCACCGGCUAACUACGUG